AUUGAGAUCUGCAACUGCCAAAACCUCCCCGUCCUUCCUCUCUCAUCUUGUCCCCUCAAGAAGAUACCUACUUCCACCAAUCUCAACCUCACUACUACUGCACCCUCUUUCUAUGGAAAGAUGCAGUGCAGUGGAGAAGUAGAAGCAUUGAUGAUGGAGAAUUUGGCAAUGGACAUGUUGAACCUGUCUAUUUGAGAGAUGAUGAUCAUGAUCAUGAUCAUGAUGGAUGAUUGAUGAUAUAUAUAUAUUUAUAUGCAAAAAAAUUUAUAUUAUUUCUUCACCAACAUAAAUGAUAUUUAGUGUAGUGUAUUAUAGUUUGUAAUUUGUUGUUUUCUUGUUGUAAUUGAAGCUCAUUGCGAUAUCGUGAAAACAUUGAAUGAUGUGCAAA
Sesamum indicum (sesame) is the source of this 388-nucleotide non-coding RNA. NCBI's taxonomy places the organism in Eukaryota, Viridiplantae, Streptophyta, Magnoliopsida, Lamiales, Pedaliaceae. The record is from RefSeq and is a predicted model, not a curated record.